This 1011-nucleotide ribosomal RNA is filed under the name Lactiplantibacillus plantarum. RNAcentral describes it as "bacterial SSU rRNA". It matches the Rfam family "Bacterial small subunit ribosomal RNA", at positions 424 to 1430 of the family's 1533-position model. The record is from RNAcentral. Lineage: Bacteria; Bacillati; Bacillota; Bacilli; Lactobacillales; Lactobacillaceae.
CGAAAACUCUGUUGUAAAGAAGAACAUUUCUGAGAGUAACUGUUCAGGUAUUGACGGUAUUUAACCAGAAAGCCACGGCUAACUACGUGCCAGCAGCCGCGGUAAUACGUAGGUGGCAAGCGUUGUCCGGAUUUAUUGGGCGUAAAGCGAGCGCAGGCGGUUUUUUAAGUCUGAUGUGAAAGCUUUCGGCUCAACCGAAGAAGUGCAUCGGAAACUGGGAAACUUGAGUGCAGAAGAGGACAGUGGAACUCCAUGUGUAGCGGUGAAAUGCGUAGAUAUAUGGAAGAACACCAGUGGCGAAGGCGGCUGUCUGGUCUGUAACUGACGCUGAGGCUCGAAAGUAUGGGUAGCAAACAGGAUUAGAUACCCUGGUAGUCCAUACCGUAAACGAUGAAUGCUAAGUGUUGGAGGGUUUCCGCCCUUCAGUGCUGCAGCUAACGCAUUAAGCAUUCCGCCUGGGGAGUACGGCCGCAAGGCUGAAACUCAAAGGAAUUGACGGGGGCCCGCACAAGCGGUGGAGCAUGUGGUUUAAUUAGAAGCUACGCGAAGAACCUUACCAGGUCUUGACAUACUAUGCAAAUCUAAGAGAUUAGACGUUCCCUUCGGGGACAUGGAUACAGGUGGUGCAUGGUUGUUGUCAGCUCGUGUCGUGAGAUGUUGGGUUAAGUCCCGCAACGAGCGCAACCCUUAUUAUCAGUUGCCAGCAUUAAGUUGGGCACUCUGGUGAGACUGCCGGUGACAAACCGGAGGAAGGUGGGGAUGACGUCAAAUCAUCAUGCCCCUUAUGACCUGGGCUACACACGUGCUACAAUGGAUGGUACAACGAGUUGCGAACUCGCGAGAGUAAGCUAAUCUCUUAAAGCCAUUCUCAGUUCGGAUUGUAGGCUGCAACUCGCCUACAUGAAGUCGGAAUCGCUAGUAAUCGCGGAUCAGCAUGCCGCGGUGAAUACGUUCCCGCGCCUUGUACACACCGCCCGUCACACCAUGAGAGUUUGUAACACCCAAAGUCGG